GACGAACGCUGGCGGCGUGCUUAACACAUGCAAGUCGAACGGAAAGGCCCUGCUUUUGUGGGGUGCUCGAGUGGCGAACGGGUGAGUAACACGUGAGUAACCUGCCCUUGACUUUGGGAUAACUUCAGGAAACUGGGGCUAAUACCGGAUAGGAGCUCCUGCUGCAUGGUGGGGGUUGGAAAGUUUCGGCGGUUGGGGUUGGACUCGCGGCUUAUCAGCUUGUUGGUGGGGUAGUGGCUUACCAAGGCUUUGACGGGUAGCCGGCCUGAGAGGGUGACCGGCCACAUUGGGACUGAGAUACGGCCCAGACUCCUACGGGAGGCAGCAGUGGGGAAUAUUGCACAAUGGGCGGAAGCCUGAUGCAGCAACGCCGCGUGCGGGAUGACAGCCUUCGGGUUGUAAACCGCUUUCGCCUGUGACGAAGCGUGAGUGACGGUAAUGGGUAAAGAAGCACCGGCUAACUACGUG
Molecule: ribosomal RNA, 468 nt
Filed under: uncultured bacterium
Lineage: Bacteria
Description: partial 16S ribosomal RNA
Rfam family: Bacterial small subunit ribosomal RNA
Source: RNAcentral